GUGGGGAAUAUUGGGCAAUGGGCGAAAGCCUGACCCAGCAACGCCGCGUGAGGGAAGAAGGCCUUCGGGUUGUAAACCUCUGUCCUUGGUGACGAAAAAAAUGACGGUAGCCAAGGAGGAAGCCCCGGCUAACUACGUGCCAGCAGCCGCGGUAAUACGUAGGGGGCGAGCGUUGUCCGGAAUUACUGGGCGUAAAGGGUGCGUAGGUGGCCUUUUAAGUUGGAUGUGAAAUCCCCGGGCUUAACUUGGGUGGUGCAUCUAAUACUGGAGGGCUAGAGUGCAGGAGAGGGAAGCGGAAUUCCUAGUGUAGCGGUGAAAUGCGUAGAUAUGCGGAGGAACACCGAUGGCGAAGGCAAUCCCCUGGGCCUGCACUGACGCUCAUGCACGAAAGCGUGGGGAGCAAACAGGAUUAGAAACCCCUGUAGUCC
This 428-nucleotide ribosomal RNA is filed under the name uncultured bacterium. RNAcentral's name for it is "partial 16S ribosomal RNA". It matches the Rfam family "Bacterial small subunit ribosomal RNA", at positions 354 to 796 of the family's 1533-position model. The record is from RNAcentral.